AUGGCGGUGACGAUGGCGAGCGUAUCCACCGGCGUGAUGAACUCCCUCCUCGGGAAGCUCGCCACGCUGAUGGGGGAUGAGUACCGCAAGAUCAAAGGCGUUCGGAACAAGGUAGCGUCCCUUCUGGACGAGUUCAGUAGCAUGAGUGCUCUGCUUGUGAAGCUCGCAGGCAUGGAUGAGCUUGACGUUCAGGCCAGGGAGUGGAGGGACCAAGUCCGGGAGAUGUCAUACGACAUUGAAGACUGCGUCGACGAUUUCAUGCGUGACCUCGGACAAAAAGGCGCAACCACUGGCUUUCUGAAGAAGACUGCCGAGCGCCUGAAGAAGCUCAGGGUGCGCCAUCAGAUGGCCAACAUGAUCCGUAGGAUCGAGACUCGUGUAAGUGAAGUGCAUGACCGGCGCACGAGGUACAAAAUUGAUGAGUACGCCCCGUCAUCUGGCAUUGUCGCUGUCGACCCAAGAGUGAUUGCCAUCUAUGCUGAGGCGGCCGGUCUUGUGGGCAUUGAUGCUCCAAGAGACGAGCUCAUGAAGAUGUUGAUGGUUGAAGGGAAAGAGCUGAGGGUGGCUUCUAUUGUGGGAUUCCCUGGUCUUGGAAAAACCACACUUGCAAAUGAAGUGUACCGUAAGCUUCAAGGACAAUUUGAUUGUCAUGCAUUUGUUUCGGUGUCUCAAAAACCAGAUAUGCCGAAUCUUCUCAGUAAUUUGUUACUGAAACUUGCGGGGCAACACUCUUCUCAAAUGGGCAAGUUGGACGAUACGAUCACCGGUAUCAGGGAAUAUCUGUCGAAUAAGAGGUACUUAAUCAUAAUUGAUGAUUUAUGGGAUUCGCUUGCAUGGAAGGUUAUUAGAUGCGCUUUUCCAGAAAACAGUCGUAGCAGUAGAGUGCUAACAACUACAAGGAUUUACUCUGUUGCCGCUACUUGUUGCUCUAAUAGCAAAGAGUAUGUUUAUAAGAUGAAAUCAUUGGAUGACCAGGACUCAAGAAGACUAUUUUUUAGUAGAGUAUUUGGUUUUGGAGAACCUUGCCCUGUCAUAUAUGCGGAGCUUUCAACAGAUAUUUUGAAAAGAUGUGGUGGUUUGCCCCUUGCCAUUACCGGUAUAUCAAGCCUUCUUGCAGGUCAAUUGAAGCCAAUGUGGGAAUAUGUAAGGAAUUCCUUGGGAUCCAUGUUUGAAGGCAAUCCUACUCUAGAAGAAAUGAAACAAAUAUUGGACCUUAGCUACAGAAAUCUUCCUCACCAUCUAAAGACAUGCCUGCUUUAUCUUGGUAUGUAUCCAGAGGAUUACGAGAUAAUGAAGAAUGACUUGUCGAGGCAAUGGAUAGCUGAAGGUUUCGUGAGUUCAAUCAAUGGGCUAGAUGCAGAGGAUGUUGCAGGGAGCUACUUCAACGAGCUCAUCAACAGAAGCAUGAUCCAGCCUGUGGAGAAGGACUGUAAUGAUGAGGUGUUGUCGUGCAGAGUACAUGAUGUAAUGCUUGAUCUUAUCAGAUCCAAAAGCACAGAAGAGAAUUUUAUUACUGUAAUGGAUCACCAACAAAUUGUGACAGGGAUGAACAAGCAGAUCCGUCGAAUAUCACUCUGCAACGGCGGUGAAGAACGCGGUGUGAUGCCGGCGAUAACCAGCGAGUCACUAUCAAGAGCUCGCUCAGUCGCAGUUUUCAGAACCGUUUUCUGGCCUAGUUUACUGGGGUUCAAGUAUGUUCGAGUUCUACACCUUGAAUAUCCAAAAAGUGGAAGGCUGGAUCUUACUGGUAUGUGUGGGUUGUUUCUACUAAGAUAUGUAAAGAUAGCCUGUGAUUACAAUACAAGUUUGCAGCUACCUAGUCAAAUCGGGGAGCUAAGGCAAUUGGAGACUUUUGAUUUACAGUGGUCACCGCUGGUGAGCAUUCCACCAGAUAUCGUUGGUUUGCCCCGGUUGUCGCAUUUGGUUGUCCCAAAAUGUACUUUGUUGCCUGAUGGGAUUGGCAGCUUGAAGUCACUGCGCACUCUACAUGGGUAUGAUGUAUCAGAAAACUCGAUAAACAACAUCGAGUGCCUUGGUGAGCUGAACAACAUGAGAGAUCUUGAUCUCUAUUGGUCAAGGACGGAGACCUUGGGGGAAGCAGAGAAUCGCAUGGAUGCCUUGCGUUCUUCCCUCGAAAGGCUUUCACAUUCCAGCAACCUAAAGAAUCUUGUUCUGCAGAAUCUUUCUUCGACGCUGCUGGUUGGUUGGAGCACACUGUCCUCUCCACCUCGCCAUCUCCAGAAGCUUGAUCUGUUUGGUUGUGUGUUUUCAAGGGUCCCCAAGUGGAUGUGUCAACUGAGCGACCUCCACUGGUUGGUUCUUAGGGUUGAGAAGGUGGUCUCUUCCAAGGACGAUGGUGAUGUCGAUAUUCUUGCACGGUUGCCCUCUCUUAUCCACCUCGAGUUGCAGAUCGAAAAAUGCCCAGAAGAAAGGGUCAUCAUCACCGGCAGCGGCACGGCGUUCCAAACUCUCAAGCACCUGAAGUUCUCUUGCCCUAAGCUGCUGCUGGCCUUUGAAGCAGGAGCCGUGCCCAGGCUCCAGCGACUCGAGCUGCGGUUCAGUAUAAAGGGAUGGCAACAAGGCAGCAGUGCGUGCCUGCCCGCUGGCAUCGAGCACCUGCCACCUGGCUUCAGAGAAGUCAGUCCAAUGCAGUUUGACCACUUCAGAGAGAGGCUCAAUAGACGCGAUGCAGCUGCUGCGAAGUCUGCACUGAGGAACGCUUUUGCAUGUGUAGGAAUAACAAUGGUGAGAAUCAGUGGAGGGGACGCUGUUCUGAAAGCCACAACCGCUUGUUCCACUAAUAACACUGUACCAGAUGAGCUCGCUAUCCUCGGAGCAACAACAGAAAUCAGUGACUAUUCAAGCUGA
Molecule: ribosomal RNA, 2868 nt
Filed under: Triticum aestivum (bread wheat)
Lineage: Eukaryota; Viridiplantae; Streptophyta; Magnoliopsida; Poales; Poaceae
Description: partial small subunit ribosomal RNA
Source: RNAcentral